GUAAGGGCAAGCAACUCUCUCUGAUGUUCAUCAGCAGCAACAGCAGUAACUUGAUAAUAUUAAGACCCAAACAAUAGGUGAAAACUCACGAGCUUAAUGAAUAAGAAAAAGACAAACAUGGAUGGAUGAUUAUGAGAUUAGUGGUGUUCAAUCUGAUGAUACUCUUGUUCAUUUUUCUCUAUUAUCAUAUUGCAAUCCAAUAACAUUCCAAGAAGCUGUCAAAGAUACAAGACGGUGAAAAGUAAUGGAUG
Molecule: long non-coding RNA, 251 nt
Filed under: Carica papaya (papaya)
Lineage: Eukaryota; Viridiplantae; Streptophyta; Magnoliopsida; Brassicales; Caricaceae
Description: long non-coding RNA (CPAP_LNC012339)
Source: RNAcentral